UAAGAUUGGGAGGUGAUCCCAUUAACUUAAUCUGGGGCCAACUGAGCUCUUGACAGACCCAAAAUGGGCCGAAUGGAUCAGUCCAUUUGGACCCAGAAUUCCUAGUUGACGGUGGCACCGCCCAGGAGACUCGGUCUCCUAGGAGUUUUGGGCGGUAGUACCGCCCUAUUCAGGCGGUAGUACCGUCAAAGCUCGGUCUCUGAGCUCUGGUAGGUGGUGG
RNAcentral lists this long non-coding RNA (220 nucleotides) under Musa acuminata (dwarf banana). RNAcentral's name for it is "long non-coding RNA (MACU_LNC008581)". The record is from RNAcentral. Lineage: Eukaryota; Viridiplantae; Streptophyta; Magnoliopsida; Zingiberales; Musaceae.